Molecule: long non-coding RNA, 932 nt
Filed under: Homo sapiens (human)
Lineage: Eukaryota; Metazoa; Chordata; Mammalia; Primates; Hominidae
Description: HSALNT0402924
Source: RNAcentral
ACUCUUCUGACGAGACACCAGAUUGCCUACUGGCUUCUUCCAGCUUUCCCGAGCACAGGGAGAGUGGCAGCAAUACCAGGGAGCCUUAUGCUUACAAGAUGGACACCAUAUGUUUUCACUAUCGCUUCGUAGCUGUUCUCAUCUGUCCCUUUUCUUUGUCCUUUUAGUAUCUGAGGUCCAGUAACCCUGAGAAAUUUAAUUUGAGAAGACACCAUGAAUGAAAUAUUAAUAUUUUAAAAUCAAGUACAAAGAGAAGAUUGCCUGUGAGUGGUUAUUCUCUUCAGUUGUCCAAUAGCUGUUAUUUAUCAAAUUAACACCAAAACGUUCAAACUCUCUAAAAAUGAAUAGCUUUGCUUUAUAAGGAGAGUUGUGAAAACUUAUUAAGAACUCCUGCACAUAUUAUUUAAAGAUACCAUUUACACGUGAGAGUAAUUAUAAAUGAAAUAUAUUAAAUGUCCGAAAGUAGCACCAUGUGGCAGAAUUUUCAGGAAAAGAAAUCGAAUUAGUACUGGAAGAAGACAUUCAAAUAAGAGAACCACAUUUUCAAGACUCCUGCCCCUGCCACGAGAACACACCCUUUCCAGUUUGCUGGAGAAAUAUAAGAGAAGUCCAGUGAAAGAGAGCUGAGUUUCCCCAAUGAUGCCAUCAAGAUGAACUAACUACAGUUAACCAGCCAGCUGAUAGCAGAUGCAUGAGUGAGCCCAGCUGAGAGCAGUGCCUACAAUAGUUCCUGGUAUGUAGAAGGUAUACAAUAAAUAUUGGCGGAGUGAAGGAACAAAUGGGAUUUGCUUGAUUCUGCUGCAGAAGACUAAGAAAAAGACAUAAAUGAAUAAAUAACUAGUAGAAUGUUAACACAAUCAGAAAAAGGACCAUUUCUUUUCAUUUGGAUGUCUCAAAUCUAUUUGUUGUUUUUGUUGUUGUUGUUUUUCUGG